This is an RNA transcript of Anopheles darlingi, 4588 nucleotides long. RefSeq lists it as uncharacterized. The transcript is spliced from 3 exons. NCBI's taxonomy places the organism in Eukaryota, Metazoa, Arthropoda, Insecta, Diptera, Culicidae. The record is from RefSeq and is a predicted model, not a curated record.
UUGCAUUCGCAACUGAGUCGCCAGAAGAAAUCGAACAAUUUGAUAGCUUUCAACUUAUUCUCAUAUAUUCUCACAAUUCGGGAAAGAGUUUGGAGCAAAGUUCUGAGCAAAGUUCUGUAGGAGUGGUAGGAGUAGUAGGAGUAGCUUCAAAUUUAGUCCACUUUUCUUCCUGAUUGCUGACUCAUCUCUCCGCGCCUUUCGCGCCUGUUUAUAUCCCUGUAACGUUCACGCUCGCGUAACGUUCACGCGUAACGCCCUACUACGCUUUGUCAUUUUUUUGACAGUCCACCUCCCAGUGAGGUAGUAACGAUACUCACGAUCUACUUGCGUAGGAGCUACUGUUGUUACGCGCUUCCUGGUUUGUUUACUUAAUUUCUGUUCUGUCAACGCAACCCGCGUGCGCACGCGGUGUUGCCUAUCUAUUCUAUUCCUGUUCUAUUCUGUCCUGUGUAUUCGCGUGGCCGUACCUCUAUUUUUGCGAUUUUCGUCGCCGGCCUUUCCAGGACUCGUUUUGCGGUUUUUACCACUGCCCUCCGUACCUGUCCGUCUCUAUCCUCUUUCACCUGUAUCACUCGUCCCUUUGGCCACUCGCCGCGCGGUAAUGUGUGGUCAAUUACUAUUACGACGUCCCCUACCGCGAGGGGUUCGACCGGCUCGAACCACUUGGUUCGUUUCCCCAACGUUGGACGACUGCACCGCGGAGGCCGAAUCGUUUAGCAUCGCUGGCGGCUUGUCCCCGUUAGAGCUGCCAAGGAGGAUGUGGUUUGGGGUUAUUGGGGUGCCGUCUUCAUCGUCCAGCGGCAGGUAAGUGAGAGGCCUAGAGUUAAUAAUCAUUUCUGCUUCCUUCAGGGUCGUCAGUAGCACCUUCUCCUUUGGUACCCGUGGCAGCUCCAUCCUGCUUAGCGUCCUCUUGACGGAUGCCACCAGCCGCUCCCAACAUCCGCCGAAGUGUGGACCCCCGGGUGGGUUAAAAGUCCACUGUAGUGACGGACUAGUGAAUGCCUCACUGAGUUCAUGCGCGGCACCGACAAGUUCGUGCCGCAGUCGCUGACGAAUUCCUUGGGGCAGCCUCUGCUGGCAAUAAACCUUCGCACGGCCAGGAUGCAGGACGAUGUGGUUAGUGUCGGCACGAUGUCUAUGUGCACCGCUCUUACUGUUAAACACGUGAAUAAUACCCCCCACCUCUUUUCUUUGCGUCUUGUCUAUCGUGGCUCUGGCUAAUUCUGGAUCUUUUUUCAGACGCUUCAUGAGGCACACGUGGCGUCGCAUGGCCAUUUCCCGGCUUGGCGGCAAGACGAUAUCAUCGCGUUUCCAGAGUAAGCCUGUUUCGUAUCGUCGGUUCAGUAAUCGGGUGCUGUUAUUAAGAAGCUCGGUCGCUCUCUUCACUUCCUUUGACAGCAACGGUUGCGCGGUGCUCGCUAUUCCUAACGAUUCGGGGCUAAAGUAAUCUUGUAGCUUCUGGUUCAUCUCGUUGUCGCUGGCUGACGAUACGCUUAUGCAGUACACGUGGCUACUUGCAGAUGGAGGCAGUCCACCGAGUGGCCCAUAUACUGUCCAACCUAACCGGGACUUUACCGCAACUGGUUCACCUAUUUUCCCUUCUUUAUAUUUUAGGGGCUUCAACAGGUGGCAAUGAUCAACGCCGAUCAACAGCCGAGGAUGGGCGUCGAGGUAUGAUGUCGCUGGGAUACCACUAUGCACGUUGGUGAGCCUAUGCGAGUGGAGCGAAUCAGCCGCUCCAAUCAACACACAAUCAAUUUCUACCGAAUCCGCCUCUUCUCGUGUGGUGUCACCCGUCCAGUUCAAACAUAUCGGGCGUGGCGUUCCCUUCAACCCCAACUCGUCAACCAGAUCGUGAUCGAUGAAGGUGGACGUCGAUCCUUCGUCCAGCAGGGCAACGGUCUGUGCGGAGUGGUGUUUGCCGAACAGAGUUACUGGUGCAUACCGCAGUAACGCGCCGUCCGCCUUCGUAGUGGAGUGCGUAUAACAGUGUCCUUGUGUGUUGCGGGGUUUCGUUGCCUCUUGGUCAGUGCUUCCAGUGUCGGUGUCCGUGUGCGUGUUCUUGUGUUGUGCUGUGAAGGUGGUUCCGUUAUGUUCGCGUUGCUCCGCCGGUGAACCCGUACACCCGUUGUGUUUGGUGUAGAACUCGUGUAAUAGUGGGUGAUGCCUCCCGGUACAGCUUGGCGUCUCGCACCUUUUUGAGUGGCAGAAGCCUCUGUGAAAGCGGAGGCAAUUUCGGCAUAGUUUAGCUUUCUUCACAACAUCGUGCCUUCCUGCUGCGCUCAUUUCGCCGAAACGUUUGCAUUCUGCCAGUGUUGCGCAACUUUCGUUGCACGCUGCGCAGCUGGCUGGGUACUUGACGCUGCUCGUAUGGGCGGUAACCCAUGUCUUCCUCGAUGGCGGCGCGUGUGAUGGGGGCCGAUUUGUUGUCUCCCUCUCAUUUCGGUAACUUGUAGUGGGAGAGAUCUCACCGCUCGCAGCAUCGGCUAAUUCGCCAACCCAAUUCCCGAAGUUGACCAGCGUCGGUGUCUCGGCCAUCUUUUGUUUCCGUCGCGCCCACUUCAUAAGAUAAGCCGGGGGGAGCUUACCAGUCAACUCCUUCAUGAGUGUCACAUUACACUCGUAUUCUUGCAGCCCCGAGAUGCGGAUGGUGGCGCACAGGUUUUUCACUGCCGUUCCAUACGCCACUAAAGUGUCCAACUUGUCGGCCCUUGGCGCCGGCAACCAUCGCACCUUCUCUACCAGAGCGUCCACCACCAAGUCCGGCCUACCGAAGCGUUUUCGGAGGAUUUCCAAUGCCUCUACCAAACCUGCUGGGAGCAGCAGCAAGUGUUCUACCGCUUCUUUUGCUGGUCCACGUAGCGCCCGUUGUAGCCGCAGCAAGUUUUCCUCCUCAGUGUAUCCGCAUAGUGCUGCCGACUUCUCAAAACUGGCGAUGAAAAGCGGCCAGUUCGUCCGCGAAAGGCGCGGAGAGAUGAGUCAGCAAUCAGGAAGAAAAGUGGACUAAAUUUGAAGAAUGUUGCAUUCGCAACUGAGUCGCCAGAAGAAAUCGAACAAUUUGAUAGCUUUCAACUUAUUCUCAUAUAUUCUCACAAUUCGGGAAAGAGUUUGGAGCAAAGUUCUGAGCAAAGUUCUGUAGGAGUGGUAGGAGUAGUAGGAGUAGCUUCAAAUUUAGUCCACUUUUCUUCCUGAUUGCUGACUCAUCUCUCCGCGCCUUUCGCGCCUGUUUAUAUCCCUGUAACGUUCACGCUCGCGUAACGUUCACGCGUAACGCCCUACUACGCUUUGUCAUUUUUUUGACAUACUGCUUGCGUAAGAACUGAUCGCUAUCCAGAAUUGCACUGAUUAUAAAAAAAGGAAAUCUCAACAGUACAUUAGCUAAUUGAAGUGAGUUGUGUGUGAUAUCGAAACGUGAUAGCUACUAUUGCCUUUGGUAGUUACAGCUCGAACAAGAUGAAGAUACAAAACGAUUUUUUUUAGAUAGCUGUCCAAUAGGCAGGCGAGCUGAAAAUGCCUAGUCGGUCAUGUUUGGCAGGUCUCACACCGCUAGCUAAGGGGAUUUUUUAGGAUAUUUUCUCGGCCAACAACAACACGCAUACAAGAGAAGCCAUUCUAUCGUUCUGGUUUCACUUUGAUCUUGUCAUAACAGCAUCGGAGAGUAGUAACCAGUAAUCUGGUUCUGAUUUUCAAUGAAUCCAGUUUCAGUUCAGUUCUGCAUAGCGUAGAUCAAGGUUUGUAUCUAGUAUUACCAAGAACAGAUGCCUAUUGAUGUUCAUAAAAGACGCCUUCUCUCUUCGUCGUUAAAACAUAGAAUGCUACAAGAUGUAAAAGAAAGACCUCAUUCCAAUAUGGUGGUAUCAUAUUUUUCUUCUGCUUCUUCUUCUUCUUUUUCUGUAACCUUCAUGUGAUAUCAGUAUCUAAAAUGGGGGAAAAUGAGAAUCGCUACCUUAUCGGUACUACUAAUUAACAGCUAUAUCGGCUACCGGUGGCGGCACAUUGGUUUGCCCUCGUUCCAGACAUCCCGACAUAAGCAUCUUUUUGGCUCGUUCAUUCUUAGGUAACAGCCCACUCCACCCGUCACACACACACACACCGCGAUUGUGCAACAAGCAGCACCGCAACGAGAGACAGCGAGAGAUGCAGCAGCAAACCCCCCCCGCAAGUGACGGCGGUGGUGGCGGCGGUCUAGCGUUUUCCUCCGGGCAGCCAAAACCGUCGACCAGCCAGCCAGCCAUCCAGCCAACCAGGCGGAUUCACCGAUGGCAGUAGAGCUUAUUGAUUUUCUGUACAUCCUUCACCGAAAAGCCGACGCGCUGUCCCAGCUGCCCGCUGUACUUAAUCUGUUGAAUGCAAGAAAGAAAAUGCGUUCACUUCAUUAUGCAACCAGCGGGCCGGCGAUGCGGUACGGACCAGCAGACCGCCGGUAAUAAACCGGCAACCAAACCGACGGCCCCCGAUCGACGUGUGUGCGGCGAGUAAUCAUCAUUAUCAAUCAAUCGGCUCGGCUCGACCGCGGCUCGCGGAAGGCGGUCGGUCGGUCACUCCACUACUGGCCUACCUUUGGUUCGACCGUCGGUUUUCCGUUUUU